GCCGGGGGUCGUUCCAGAGCGACUCUGGGUUGUCCCAAGGAGAGUGAUGAAAUUCUGGAAAACUGAAAGUUCUGGGUGAAAACUAUUCUGAAUAUAAGAAGUAAUUUUGUGAGGCUGUGUGGUCUGUGUGGCAUCCCAUGAGUCUUGGUGUUUAAAGAAAGGAGAUUCCAAAGUGAGAAAGCCCAAGAGAAAAGUUUCCUGAGGACCUUGAGGAAGAUGUGAAAGCAGCAGCAAAAAGAAAGGAGUUUUAACACCAGAGAUGCUGUCAGGGGAGAGAACAUGUUAAACAACUUAUUGAAAACUACAGAGUAGAUUUCAGGCAAUAGUCUUUGAGGAAGAGGGGAGUUCCCUCUGCUCCACUUCAGAGAAGAGCAGAAAUUCAUGCUGAAAUUUAAGCCUCUGAAGAAUCCCAUUUAAAUCUGUGAAGGUAUUCCCACACUUAAAAUUAAACAUGAGCUGAAGGGUUUUGCUCCACAGGCAAGAAAGGGGCUUAGUGAAAUGCCUGGUCUACAAAGGUUGUGUCAUUGUUGAGGAGAAAUGAGCAAAAAGCUGUAGUUGUGGUAAUUAAGGGUGGGAAAACUGCAGCCUAAAGGAAUAAAGU
Pipra filicauda (Wire-tailed manakin) is the source of this 601-nucleotide long non-coding RNA. RefSeq lists it as uncharacterized. The record is from RefSeq and is a predicted model, not a curated record. Lineage: Eukaryota; Metazoa; Chordata; Aves; Passeriformes; Pipridae. The transcript has 4 exons.